GGCAUGAUGGCCGAGCGGUCUAAGGCGCUGCACUCAAGUGUUCAUUCGCUUGUUACUUUCUGUAACUCCUAUUGCAGUCUCGCAAGAGGCGUGAGUUCGAGUCUCACUCAUGUCA
Non-coding RNA from Tulasnella sp. 332, 115 nucleotides. The record is from the annotation of a GenBank genome assembly. Lineage: Eukaryota; Fungi; Basidiomycota; Agaricomycetes; Cantharellales; Tulasnellaceae.